UGCAGAAAGAAAUAAACAUAACCAACCAGAUAAAAUAGCAAAGGAAAAAACAGAGUGAAACAGCCAAACAAAAAACACAUGGCAAAACAAACUGAAUGAUUUGCUAAAAAUUCAAAUUUGUUUUCAUUUCCAGGUUUUUUUUGUUUUGUUUGGCAACAUGUUCAUAUUUGGAUAACUUUAACAGGAUAAGUUUUAUGGAAAUCCAAAUCUUUUGGGCUAUUUAUAAGUGUAAUUUUGGUAAGGGGAUCCUCCUAAUAUCGUUUCUACACAGAAGUAGAUUGUUUCCUUAGAUCUGCAGUUUUUACUCUUUGUUUUAUUGACAAGGGUCCUAUUGGGUGGACUGGGGGAGAGAGGGAUGCUCAUUUUGUGUCUUUGAGUUCAUUUGCUUUUAAACACUGUGUUUUUAAUAUGUAUUUUAUUUGCUUUUAUGUUAAGCCCCUUGUGUUUCAGGUGAAAAGGUGCUAUACAUAUAAAUAAAGUUUAAAUUUGAGUUUUAAAAAGUUACAUUUUUUAAAUUUUUAAAAUAGUGUGUUCAAUAAAUGUUUUUCCUAAGGUGUCUUUUGGAUUCUGGCCCCCUGUGUGAUUGAGUUGACACCAUGCCUGCCUGUAAAUGAAUAGACUGAAUAAUGCUGGGUGGAGUCGUUGUUCCGUCUCCAUAGCAACGGGGAAGCGGGAGCAAUCUUAACUAACAGAACAAAAGUGUCAAAGGAAAAAAACGCAAUAAAUAAGGAGUCCACUGACAGCAUGAACAACAGAACUCAGCGGUUGAACUCGUGAGUUUAUGUUUUUUCACUAAAGUGACUAAAGAAGAAGACGACGAUGUCGCUGUUUUUUUUUUUUUUUUUUUUUUUUUUUUUUUUUUUUGUUUUGUUCUUUUUUUUUAAAGAUAUUUCUGGAAAAUCUGACAUAUAGCAAACCGCUUUGGCUGCUCUCGUCUCCAUUGAUAGGUUGUCUCGGUCGUCGACCGACGCGGGGACAGCUUUCCUGAACAGCAGGACGAGUUCGAGGCUGACGUGGGAGGUUCGAGCCCGGCAGGACGGGAAGCGCCGCAGUGUGCUCGGCAGCAGCCGGCCGGGCAGACACCACGGCCCGGAGGAGACGCCGAGGAGAGCCGUUCGGGCCCGAGCCAGCAGCCUCCGCAUCCCGCAGCAGCUCUCUGUCUGCCAGCAUAUCAAGCCAGUGCUGGAUGCUGAGGGCAACGAUGUGACUCCCCUGCCUCUGCUCCCAGUGAAGCCACAGCCAUCUACUGAAACGGCAGGAUUGUGUCUGGACGACUUGUUCAAUUCAGAUCACUCUAGCUCCGACUCCAGCCUUGAUCUGGACUCCACCUCCUCUUUAAGCAGGUGGUGACGUUCACAUCCAACCAAUGCGUUAGUGAUGGUGUCAGAGGAGGAAUAAUGUCUGCUUGUGUUUUCAGCUCAUUCGCUCUGUCCUCAAGGGAUUCAUGGACAAAGGAAAGUAAAGACAGUCUCCUUACAGAGGACAUCCACCUACACCUACCUACUCCAUGUGAUUAAUACACCUUUUUGUCUGUUUAUUUUUUUAUUUGUUUGUUUUGAUGAAUAUUUUCUUGUAUUUUUUAUCCCGGGGGGUCUGCACCCUUUGAGGCAACAUUCACACUGUCCUCGGCAACGCGCUUUCAAGCCAUUGACUGUAUAAGAAAACUGGACUGAUCCCUCCCCCCUCGCGUUACCAUAAGACUUCUAUGGAGAAAAAAAAACAGCUAUUACUCACUCUAUUUGUCAGAAAAAUAAUUAUUUCGCUACAAACUUAUUAUUAACAUAUUGUAUCCUAAUUUUUUUCAUUACGUUUUUUCUUUAUCCCAAGUUAUUCAAGUUAUAAACUGGCCAAUCAGAUGCCUCAGUAAAGCAUGUGGUGCCCACCUCAAACGUUUGAUUGGCAGAUUCUCCUGAGCUCACUUUCAGUGGUAUGGAUGUGAACUUCUAAGUAGCUCCCUCCUGAUUGGUAACAUCAUUUGCCAUAGUAAUGUAGUAACCAUAAUAACUGACUAGAAACAAUCGCUGCUUACUGACCAUGUCUGGCACCAAAUAGGGGUUUCCGUAUCACAGAAUGAUUUAGUCUCAUUUGGUUGGAGCUGGAAAUAAGACAUUUUUGCUCUUUAAGGCAUUAUCUAUGAGUGACUGAACUCAGUCCAGUUCUCUUAUGCAGUCAAUGGUUCAAGCGACCACUUCUAAUUAUAAGUCUAUGUCAAUGCAUGUUUCAUGCUUCCGUAUUCGAAGCUCUCGGGUUCAUUCAUAGCUACAUACAUUUUUAGGACCGUUCAUGGGCUCUAUGUACAAAAUGGGACAAUUACCUGUCACAUUUAAAAUGAGUUAAUAAAUGACAAUUUACUAAAGCAAAAAACUAUAAUUUAUUAAUUUUUUUUGCAUUCUGCUUCAAAGCCAAUGGAGCCUAAGUCCAGAGGUGUUAUCACUUUUUUAUAAUUUUGUUUGAAGUGAUCCCACCAAAGAAAGGAUUGGCUAAAAAACAAGCAUCAGAAGAGAUAAAAGUGACUGACAUAAUUCUUAUGGAGUCAGAGACGGUUACGCUGCUGGACAUCCCAAGCACCUUAAUCCACGAGGACGCUGACGGUGCAGAACUCGCCAGGUGAGGUCACGGAGCAGCUCCACUCAGGAAUCACAGCAGUGUAACCAUGCAACCAUGUGUAGCCGUGCAACUUAGUUUGUGUAAAAUCUUCAUUGACAAAUGGAUUUUUUCUGUUUUUUAACAGGGUGAGGACCGACCACUAUGUUGAACUUUGCAAAAGCAGAGUGCGCAAUGCCAUUGAACAAUCCACACAGACUAUCGUUGGAGAGAACAAAAACAAACUGAUACAGACCAACGAGAAGAUUGAGCUUGAAAAGAGUAUGAACUCACUUAAUCUUUGACCCUCUAACAAAGGAGUUCUAGUGUUUAUGUUCUUUGAUUUAUUGGAAUUAUGUAAUUCUUAACACGAUCAACGCAAUUCC
This 2969-nucleotide long non-coding RNA is filed under the name Oryzias javanicus (javanese ricefish). RNAcentral describes it as "lncRNA (ENSOJAG00000009324.1)". Lineage: Eukaryota; Metazoa; Chordata; Actinopteri; Beloniformes; Adrianichthyidae. The record is from RNAcentral.